AAGGACACUGAAGGAACGUUCGAGGACGAGGACGUGGAUAGGCCGGGUGUGUAAGCGUAGCGAUACGUUGAGCUGACCGGUACUAAUGAACCGUGCGGCUUAACCUGACAACACCGAAGGUGUUU
This 125-nucleotide ribosomal RNA is filed under the name Xenorhabdus nematophila. RNAcentral describes it as "partial 23S ribosomal RNA". The stretch from base 1 to 107 matches the Rfam family "Bacterial large subunit ribosomal RNA", at positions 2820 to 2925 of the family's 2925-position model. Lineage: Bacteria; Pseudomonadati; Pseudomonadota; Gammaproteobacteria; Enterobacterales; Morganellaceae. The record is from RNAcentral.